Molecule: small nuclear RNA, 192 nt
Filed under: Micromonas pusilla CCMP1545
Lineage: Eukaryota; Viridiplantae; Chlorophyta; Mamiellophyceae; Mamiellales; Mamiellaceae
Description: U2 spliceosomal RNA
Rfam family: U2 spliceosomal RNA
About the family: U2 is a small nuclear RNA (snRNA) component of the spliceosome (involved in pre-mRNA splicing). Complementary binding between U2 snRNA (in an area lying towards the 5' end but 3' to hairpin I) and the branchpoint sequence (BPS) of the intron results the bulging out of an unpaired adenosine, on the BPS, which initiates a nucleophilic attack at the intronic 5' splice site, thus starting the first of two transesterification reactions that mediate splicing.
Source: Rfam by way of RNAcentral
AUACCUUUCUCGGCCUUUUGGCUAAGAUCAAGUGUAGUAUCUGUUCUUAUCAGUUUAAUAUCUGGUAAACUGGAAAUUCCAGUUACGAUAUUAAAUGUAUUUUUCAGGGAAGCCACCCAAGUAGUCAUGCUUGCAUGGUGGGUGGCGUGGAUGGCCGUGGCGUUGCACAUGUGCUCCGGACGUCCGCCCCUU